RNAcentral lists this ribosomal RNA (679 nucleotides) under Klebsiella pneumoniae. Its description in RNAcentral is "bacterial SSU rRNA". It matches the Rfam family "Bacterial small subunit ribosomal RNA", at positions 63 to 732 of the family's 1533-position model. Lineage: Bacteria; Pseudomonadati; Pseudomonadota; Gammaproteobacteria; Enterobacterales; Enterobacteriaceae. The record is from RNAcentral.
CGAGCGGUAGCACAGAGAGCUUGCUCUCGGGUGACGAGCGGCGGACGGGUGAGUAAUGUCUGGGAAACUGCCUGAUGGAGGGGGAUAACUACUGGAAACGGUAGCUAAUACCGCAUAACGUCGCAAGACCAAAGUGGGGGACCUUCGGGCCUCAUGCCAUCAGAUGUGCCCAGAUGGGAUUAGCUAGUAGGUGGGGUAACGGCUCACCUAGGCGACGAUCCCUAGCUGGUCUGAGAGGAUGACCAGCCACACUGGAACUGAGACACGGUCCAGACUCCUACGGGAGGCAGCAGUGGGGAAUAUUGCACAAUGGGCGCAAGCCUGAUGCAAGCCAUGCCGCGUGUGUGAAGAAGGCCUUCGGGUUGUAAAGCACUUUCAGCGGGGAGGAAGGCGAUAAGGUUAAUAACCUUGUCGAUUGACGUUACCCGCAGAAGAAGCCCCGGCUAACUCCGUGCCAGCAGCCGCGGUAAUACGGAGGGUGCAAGCGUUAAUCGGAAUUACUGGGCGUAAAGCGCACGCAGGCGGUCUGUCAAGUCGGAUGUGAAAUCCCCGGGCUCAACCUGGGAACUGCAUUCGAAACUGGCAGGCUAGAGUCUUGUAGAGGGGGGUAGAAUUCCAGGUGUAGCGGUGAAAUGCGUAGAGAUCUGGAGGAAUACCGGUGGCGAAGGCGGCCCCCUGG